GGAAAAUGGCGGUUUGCUAGGCUUCACGGGUCGGGGCUAAUUUGAACUGCAGAUUUGGGAACCUUCGGAGACGAAUUGGAUUAAGGUCCAAAUAACAAAGUUGUAGCAGGGACUUCAUUCUCCAACUCCCAUAAAGGAAUUUCUGGACGUUCAGCUCAACUUGCCAAAGAUAAGUCCAUCCUAAGGCGUGAGAUCAGACUGAUUUUCCAGACUUAGCCAUAAUGGCUAAAGGAGUUUGAGUUGACCAGAUCAGGGAACUUGUCUUAAGAUUAAACUCGGCUUAUUUAAAUCUAGGUCGUUACAGCAAGCCCCAAUCCCUGCACACCAGCCGCACCACUAGCACCCCUCCGGUUUUAUCCACCCACGCCCAGAGCCUCGCCUCACUCCCUCGCUCCCUCCCGAC
This 403-nucleotide long non-coding RNA is filed under the name Setaria viridis. RNAcentral's name for it is "long non-coding RNA (SVIR_LNC000581)". The record is from RNAcentral. Lineage: Eukaryota; Viridiplantae; Streptophyta; Magnoliopsida; Poales; Poaceae.